Molecule: non-coding RNA, 114 nt
Organism: Zea mays
Lineage: Eukaryota; Viridiplantae; Streptophyta; Magnoliopsida; Poales; Poaceae
Source: Rfam
UCUGAGUGGAAUGUUGUCUGGUUCAAGGUCUUUUGCUUUGUGAUCCAUCUGUGUAGAGCUUCUAAGUAUUCCUUGGAUCUGCAAGAUCUCGGACCAGGCUUCAUUCCCCUCAGA